This 459-nucleotide ribosomal RNA is filed under the name uncultured bacterium. RNAcentral's name for it is "partial 16S ribosomal RNA". It matches the Rfam family "Bacterial small subunit ribosomal RNA", at positions 338 to 795 of the family's 1533-position model. The record is from RNAcentral.
CCUACGGGAGGCAGCAGUGAGGAAUAUUGGUCAAUGGUCGGGAGACUGAACCAGCCAAGCCGCGUGAGGGAUGAAGGUACAGAGUAUCGUAAACCUCUUUUGUCAGGGAACAAAGGCGGGGACGUGUCCCCGAAUGAGUGUACCUGAAGAAAAAGCAUCGGCUAACUCCGUGCCAGCAGCCGCGGUAAUACGGAGGAUGCGCGCGUUAGCCGGAUUUUUUGGGUUUAAAGGGUGCGAAGGCCGUGUGUUAAGUCAGCGGUAAAAGCCCGGGGCUCAACCCCGGCCCGCAGUUGAAACUGGCAGUCUCGAGUGGGAGAGAAGUAUGCGGAAUGCGCGGUGUAGCGGGGAAAUGCAGAGAUAUCGCGCAGAACUCCGAUUGCGAAGGCAGCAUGCCGGCUCCACACUGACGCUGAGGCACGAAAGCGUGGGUAUCGAACAGGAUUAGAUACCCGGGUAGUC